This 249-nucleotide ribosomal RNA is filed under the name uncultured bacterium. Its description in RNAcentral is "partial 16S ribosomal RNA". It matches the Rfam family "Bacterial small subunit ribosomal RNA", at positions 796 to 1041 of the family's 1533-position model. The record is from RNAcentral.
CACGCCGUAAACGAUGGGUGCUAGAUGUCACGGGCUUUGACCCCUGUGGCGUCGUAGCUAACGCGUUAAGCACCCCGCCUGGGGAGUACGGUCGCAAGACUAAAACUCAAAGGAAUUGACGGGGGCCCGCACAAGCGGUGGAGCAUGUGGUUUAAUUCGACGCAACGCGAAGAACCUUACCUGGGCUAGAAAACGCAAGAACCCUGCUGAAAGGUGGGGGUGCUCUUCGGAGAACUUGUGGUUAGGUGC